Molecule: long non-coding RNA, 399 nt
Filed under: Ficedula albicollis (Collared flycatcher)
Lineage: Eukaryota; Metazoa; Chordata; Aves; Passeriformes; Muscicapidae
Description: lncRNA (ENSFALG00000024777.1)
Source: RNAcentral
CUGAUCAACAAGAACAAUCAAAGGACCGCAAAACUUAUUUGUUUUAAAUGAUAGACAAGGAGAAUGAUGAUUCAUAAGAUGAACUUGCAUGAAGUGGAGAAUUCUUGAUUUCUUCAGUGUUUAAGAAGGCAUAAGAGCUGACAAUUGAGGAGCUACUUGACAUGCUGUAAUCUCAUCUUUGAAAAUGGACCUCAUGGAUUCAAGCCUGUAGGGACUAGAAAACAUUUUUGGAGAAUUUUCCUGUUCUCUCUGCUAUGUUCUCCAGAGGAUGGAAACGGUAGAAGAGAUGACAACAAAUGUCACACACUUAAAUACAUGUGAGUAAUGGCACAAGCACUUGUUAAGUCAGAUGUUUCUUUGAAACAUCAAAAAUUAUUAAAUUUUCAUGGGAAGCUUGAA